GUUUCUUCAGAUCUGCAUGAAUACAGAGGCAGGUGGCAAUUAUCAGUCACCUGCUGAAUAGCUGGAAGCAAAUAUUGAUAUAGCAAAAAUGUGUGGGAGGAGGUGAGAGCUUCAAUGGAAAAUGGGAGAGACUCUACUGGGUUCUUUAAUGCCACUGGAGAGCUGAAUUCACACUUCCCAGGGCUAAAGUUCUCUCAUGAAAAUGCUAAAGAAACAGAAAAUGCCUUUCCAGGAAUUGUCAGGGAUCUAACUACAGAUGCGACUCAUUCAUUUAGAACAACACAAAGAAUUUGUGAAGACAGUUCAGACGUAACAUGCUUCCGGUGUCUAGGUAUUCUGGUUUUCCUUCAAGUCAAGAAUAUGACUAAGGCACCUACAUGAACUAGGUAUUUCACAAAGAAGUACACUCAUAGCACAACAGAUGCUAUCUGUGAGUCUUUCAUGUACCAGUAAAAUGCUGUUUAUGAUAUUUUCUGAUGGACUAUCAGAUACCAAAGUUAAACAUUUCUAAAGUUGGUAUGUUAUUUGUUUAUGUUAAAGAUGCCUCAUUAUAUACCCUGAUCUCUGGCUUAUAAUGUGAUCAAAAUACGAUGUUUAUAAAUCUACUUAUUGAGCUGUAACGUCUAUACCCUCACUAAGAAUAAGUCUUCUCUUCAGCACCUUUACCUGGGUCUCUUGUAGGUAAUUGCAAAGAAAAAUUCAAGAAGCUGUUAAAAUUGUGGCUAUGGAAGUGGCAAGGAGAAAUGUGCACAGAAUUUCUUUUAUGGGUAUUGCUUAGAUGUUAUUUUUUUGCUAAGACUUUACUGGUAUGAUUUUGUAUUCAGAGUUGUUUAUGAUCUUUGGCUGUCUGCUCUAAAGGAAACUUGAAAAACUCCUUUUCUAAGUUUUAUGGAGAUGUAAUAGACACUUAACACCACAUAAGUUUAAGAUGUACGGCUCAAUGACUCGACUUUCAUAUAUGGCGAAUGGUUGAGAAAACUCAGUCUUGACUCGAGCACAAAAGUGUGACAUUGUAAAAUUAAGUAUUUGGGGGGAUGAUUAUAUUUUUAAGGAUCUUUUAAAAGAUGGUUUUAACCAGCAGUUAGUUUUGUUAAGUUGAGGUCAUUGUUAAAUGCAUUCACGCUGUCUUUUCACUGGUAAAGUUUUAGCUAUGAAAAAUAUCUGUUAACAUAUAGUGGUGGAUACAUUUGACAGUUUUGAGACAUCUCUAUGCAGGUUAAUAGAAUAGAACAUCAAACACUACUUUAACUUUCCAAGGAGCAAUGCCAAAAUAUUUGCACUUUUGGGUAUGUCUGAUCUGGUAAUAAUUUGUAUAAAAUAUGUGAAUUGAAAAAUUAAAAGGAUGAAAGCUACAAAAAUUAUAAAAGUCCUGGGCGACUAUUUAUGUGUGUGUAUAUAUAUAUUUAUUUGUAUUACUUCCUUAUUAAUGGUACAACACUUAUUGAAUAGUAAGACACUUAUUUGAAUACAUAUUUAAUCUUAAUAAAGGGGAACAGGUUCUUAUUUUAUUGCCUUUGUUGCUUAUUUUUUCUCCACGUUGAAUUCUUCAAAUUAUUUAAGAUUUCUCAGUCCCUGACAGAGUCCAGUCAUCUAGGGCAAGGACAGAACCUUCUUUCCUUCCAGCAAGCUAAGCAUAGAAGAGACACCAAAAUGUGGCUGGAGUUAUUCGAGCAAGUGAACCAGGGUUUGGGGUAGAGGACCCCACGGUGUGGAGAGUACCUUAUAUGCAGCAUGCAGUCAUCUAUGUGGAGCCUUCACAACCCUGGAGGGCUGGCUGGCGGUCUCCUUUCUAGGGGCUCUUGGGAUCCAUGUCUCAAGAUAAAAUGAAGGUACCUCAGGACCUAAGAGGUAAGAGCCUUUGCCUUUUUUUUUUUUUAACAGGUCUAUAUAGUUAUGGUUAACAUACAGUAUAACAUACAAUGUUAUAUUGGUUUCAGAUGAACAAUAUAAUGAUUCCACAAUUUCAUACAUCGCCCAGUACUUGUCACAACAAAUACCCUCCUUGACCCC
Molecule: long non-coding RNA, 2010 nt
Filed under: Canis lupus familiaris (dog)
Lineage: Eukaryota; Metazoa; Chordata; Mammalia; Carnivora; Canidae
Description: lncRNA (ENSCAFG00000054081.1)
Source: RNAcentral